AGAGUUUGAUCCUGGCUCAGGAUGAACGCUAGCUACAGGCUUAACACAUGCAAGUCGAGGGGCAGCAUUUUAGUUUGCUUGCAAACUAAAGAUGGCGACCGGCGCACGGGUGAGUAACACGUAUCCAACCUGCCGAUAACUCGGGGAUAGCCUUUCGAAAGAAAGAUUAAUAUCCGAUAGUAUAUUAAAACCGCAUGGUUUUACUAUUAAAGAAUUUCGGUUAUCGAUGGGGAUGCGUUCCAUUAGUUUGUUGGCGGGGUAACGGCCCACCAAGACUACGAUGGAUAGGGGUUCUGAGAGGAAGGUCCCCCACAUUGGAACUGAGACACGGUCCAAACUCCUACGGGAGGCAGCAGUGAGGAAUAUUGGUCAAUGGACGAGAGUCUGAACCAGCCAAGUAGCGUGAAGGAUGACUGCCCUAUGGGUUGUAAACUUCUUUUAUAUGGGAAUAAAGUAUUCCACGUGUGGGAUUUUGUAUGUACCAUAUGAAUAAGGAUCGGCUAACUCCGUGCCAGCAGCCGCGGUAAUACGGAGGAUCCGAGCGUUAUCCGGAUUUAUUGGGUUUAAAGGGAGCGUAGGUGGAUUGUUAAGUCAGUUGUGAAAGUUUGCGGCUCAACCGUAAAAUUGCAGUUGAAACUGGCAGUCUUGAGUACAGUAGAGGUGGGCGGAAUUCGUGGUGUAGCGGUGAAAUGCUUAGAUAUCACGAAGAACUCCGAUUGCGAAGGCAGCUCACUAGACUGCAACUGACACUGAUGCUCGAAAGUGUGGGUAUCAAACAGGAUUAGAUACCCUGGUAGUCCACACAGUAAACGAUGAAUACUCGCUGUUUGCGAUAUACAGUAAGCGGCCAAGCGAAAGCAUUAAGUAUUCCACCUGGGGAGUACGCCGGCAACGGUGAAACUCAAAGGAGUUGACGGGGGCCCGCACAAGCGGAGGAACAUGUGGUUUAAUUCGAUGAUACGCGAGGAACCUUACCCGGGCUUAAAUUGCAUUUGAAUAAUCUGGAAACAGGUUAGCCGCAAGGCAAAUGUGAAGGUGCUGCAUGGUUGUCGUCAGCUCGUGCCGUGAGGUGUCGGCUUAAGUGCCAUAACGAGCGCAACCCUUAUCUUUAGUUACUAACAGGUCAUGCUGAGGACUCUAGAGAGACUGCCGUCGUAAGAUGUGAGGAAGGUGGGGAUGACGUCAAAUCAGCACGGCCCUUACGUCCGGGGCUACACACGUGUUACAAUGGGGGGUACAGAAGGCAGCUACCUGGCGACAGGAUGCUAAUCCCAAAAACCUCUCUCAGUUCGGAUCGAAGUCUGCAACCCGACUUCGUGAAGCUGGAUUCGCUAGUAAUCGCGCAUCAGCCAUGGCGCGGUGAAUACGUUCCCGGGCCUUGUACACACCGCCCGUCAAGCCAUGAAAGCCGGGGGUACCUGAAGUACGUAACCGCAAGGAGCGUCCUAGGGUAAAACUGGUAAUUGGGGCUAAGUCGUAACAAGGUA
RNAcentral lists this ribosomal RNA (1487 nucleotides) under metagenome. RNAcentral's name for it is "bacterial SSU rRNA". It matches the Rfam family "Bacterial small subunit ribosomal RNA". The record is from RNAcentral.